RNAcentral lists this ribosomal RNA (866 nucleotides) under Klebsiella pneumoniae. RNAcentral describes it as "partial 23S ribosomal RNA". It matches the Rfam family "Bacterial large subunit ribosomal RNA", at positions 419 to 1287 of the family's 2925-position model. Lineage: Bacteria; Pseudomonadati; Pseudomonadota; Gammaproteobacteria; Enterobacterales; Enterobacteriaceae. The record is from RNAcentral.
GGGACACGUGGUAUCCUGUCUGAAUAUGGGGGGACCAUCCUCCAAGGCUAAAUACUCCUGACUGACCGAUAGUGAACCAGUACCGUGAGGGAAAGGCGAAAAGAACCCCGGCGAGGGGAGUGAAAAAGAACCUGAAACCGUGUACGUACAAGCAGUGGGAGCACCUUCGGGUGUGACUGCGUACCUUUUGUAUAAUGGGUCAGCGACUUAUAUUCUGUAGCAAGGUUAACCGUAUAGGGGAGCCGCAGGGAAACCGAGUCUUAACUGGGCGUUAAGUUGCAGGGUAUAGACCCGAAACCCGGUGAUCUAGCCAUGGGCAGGUUGAAGGUUGGGUAACACUAACUGGAGGACCGAACCGACUAAUGUUGAAAAAUUAGCGGAUGACUUGUGGCUGGGGGUGAAAGGCCAAUCAAACCGGGAGAUAGCUGGUUCUCCCCGAAAGCUAUUUAGGUAGCGCCUCGUGAAUUCAUCUUCGGGGGUAGAGCACUGUUUCGGCUAGGGGGUCAUCCCGACUUACCAACCCGAUGCAAACUACGAAUACCGAAGAAUGUUAUCACGGGAGACACACGGCGGGUGCUAACGUCCGUCGUGAAGAGGGAAACAACCCAGACCGCCAGCUAAGGUCCCAAAGUCAUGGUUAAGUGGGAAACGAUGUGGGAAGGCACAGACAGCCAGGAUGUUGGCUUAGAAGCAGCCAUCAUUUAAAGAAAGCGUAAUAGCUCACUGGUCGAGUCGGCCUGCGCGGAAGAUGUAACGGGGCUAAACCAUGCACCGAAGCUGCGGCAGCGACACUAUGUGUUGUUGGGUAGGGGAGCGUUCUGUAAGCCUGCGAAGGUGACCUGUGAGGGUUGCUGGAGGUAUCAGAA